This is a non-coding RNA of Agrilus planipennis (emerald ash borer), 197 nucleotides long. Lineage: Eukaryota; Metazoa; Arthropoda; Insecta; Coleoptera; Buprestidae. The record is from Rfam.
GAUUACUGUUCGCAAAUAGUUAAGGAUGUGGGUUGUUCUGGUUUUAGCGUCUGAAGAGGACCCUAGUUGGUCCUAAAACGGCCUGAGGUACAGGGGUUUUAGUCGGUAGGUCCGAGGACUUCUUCCUCGGGAAUCCGACACUACCCAGUCGUACGGACGGCUGGGUGUCUUUUGAAGAUUUCCCCUCUUCCACGAAA